RNAcentral lists this ribosomal RNA (480 nucleotides) under uncultured bacterium. Its description in RNAcentral is "partial 16S ribosomal RNA". It matches the Rfam family "Bacterial small subunit ribosomal RNA", at positions 28 to 523 of the family's 1533-position model. The record is from RNAcentral.
GACGAACGCUGGCGGCGUGCUUAACACAUGCAAGUCGAGCGAUGAAACACCUUCGGGUGCGGAUUAGCGGCGAACGGGUGAGGAACACGUGAGGAAUCUGCCUUCCACUCUGGGAUAACUCCGGGAAACCGGGGCUAAUACCGGAUACUUUCAACUGGCGGCAUCGCCGGUUGAAGAAAGUUUUUCGGUGGAAGAUGACCUCGCGGCCUAUCAGCUUGUUGGUGAGGUAAAGGCUCACCAAGGCGACGACGGGUAGCCGGCCUGAGAGGGCGACCGGCCACACUGGGACUGAGACACGGCCCAGACUCCUACGGGAGGCAGCAGUGGGGAAUAUUGGGCAAUGGAGGAAACUCUGACCCAGCGACGCCGCGUGAGGGAUGAAGGCCUUCGGGUUGUAAACCUCUUUCAGCAGGGAAUAAGCGAAAGUGAAGGUACCUGCAGAAGAAGCACCGGCUAACUAUGUGCCAGCCGCCGCCGUAA